This 497-nucleotide ribosomal RNA is filed under the name uncultured bacterium. Its description in RNAcentral is "partial 16S ribosomal RNA". It matches the Rfam family "Bacterial small subunit ribosomal RNA", at positions 30 to 507 of the family's 1533-position model. The record is from RNAcentral.
AUUGAACGCUGGCGGCAGGCCUAACACAUGCAAGUCGAAUGGUAACAGGAAACGGCUGGCUGUUUCGCUGACGAGGGGCGGACGGGAGAGUAAUGUCGGGGAAACUGCCUGAUGGAGGGGAUAACUUACGGAAACCGGAGCUAAUAACGGAUAAUCUUUUCAAGCCCAAGGAGGGGUACUUAAGGGCGGUUUUCCUGUAACUUUUCCAUGGAUCCCUAACGUAUUAGCUAGGUGGUGAGGUAACGGCUUACCCAGGCAACGAUGCGUAGGCGAGCUGAAAGGAUGAUCGGCCACACUGGAACUGAGACACGGUCCAGACUCCUACGGGAGGCAGCAGUAGGGAAUCUUGCACAAUGGGCGAAAGCCUGAUGCAGCAACGCCGCGUGUAUGAAGAAGGUCUUCGGGUCGUAAAGCUCUUUCAGCAGGGAGGAAGGGAGUAAAGUUAAUACCUUCGCGCAUUGACGUUACCCGAACAAGAAGCCACGGCUAACUACGUG